RNAcentral lists this ribosomal RNA (2296 nucleotides) under Staphylococcus aureus. RNAcentral's name for it is "partial 23S ribosomal RNA". It matches the Rfam family "Bacterial large subunit ribosomal RNA", at positions 605 to 2904 of the family's 2925-position model. The record is from RNAcentral. Lineage: Bacteria; Bacillati; Bacillota; Bacilli; Caryophanales; Staphylococcaceae.
CUUUUGUAGAAUGAACCGGCGAGUUACGAUUUGAUGCAAGGUUAAGCAGUAAAUGUGGAGCCGUAGCGAAAGCGAGUCUGAAUAGGGCGUUUAGUAUUUGGUCGUAGACCCGAAACCAGGUGAUCUACCCUUGGUCAGGUUGAAGUUCAGGUAACACUGAAUGGAGGACCGAACCGACUUACGUUGAAAAGUGAGCGGAUGAACUGAGGGUAGCGGAGAAAUUCCAAUCGAACCUGGAGAUAGCUGGUUCUCUCCGAAAUAGCUUUAGGGCUAGCCUCAAGUGAUGAUUAUUGGAGGUAGAGCACUGUUUGGACGAGGGGCCCCUCUCGGGUUACCGAAUUCAGACAAACUCCGAAUGCCAAUUAAUUUAACUUGGGAGUCAGAACAUGGGUGAUAAGGUCCGUGUUCGAAAGGGAAACAGCCCAGACCACCAGCUAAGGUCCCAAAAUAUAUGUUAAGUGGAAAAGGAUGUGGCGUUGCCCAGACAACUAGGAUGUUGGCUUAGAAGCAGCCAUCAUUUAAAGAGUGCGUAAUAGCUCACUAGUCGAGUGACACUGCGCCGAAAAUGUACCGGGGCUAAACAUAUUACCGAAGCUGUGGAUUGUCCUUUGGACAAUGGUAGGAGAGCGUUCUAAGGGCGUUGAAGCAUGAUCGUAAGGACAUGUGGAGCGCUUAGAAGUGAGAAUGCCGGUGUGAGUAGCGAAAGACGGGUGAGAAUCCCGUCCACCGAUUGACUAAGGUUUCCAGAGGAAGGCUCGUCCGCUCUGGGUUAGUCGGGUCCUAAGCUGAGGCCGACAGGCGUAGGCGAUGGAUAACAGGUUGAUAUUCCUGUACCACCUAUAAUCGUUUUAAUCGAUGGGGGGACGCAGUAGGAUAGGCGAAGCGUGCGAUUGGAUUGCACGUCUAAGCAGUAAGGCUGAGUAUUAGGCAAAUCCGGUACUCAUUAAGGCUGAGCUGUGAUGGGGAGAAGACAUUGUGUCUUCGAGUCGUUGAUUUCACACUGCCGAGAAAAGCCUCUAGAUAGAAAAUAGGUGCCCGUACCGCAAACCGACACAGGUAGUCAAGAUGAGAAUUCUAAGGUGAGCGAGCGAACUCUCGUUAAGGAACUCGGCAAAAUGACCCCGUAACUUCGGGAGAAGGGGUGCUCUUUAGGGUUAACGCCCAGAAGAGCCGCAGUGAAUAGGCCCAAGCGACUGUUUAUCAAAAACACAGGUCUCUGCUAAACCGUAAGGUGAUGUAUAGGGGCUGACGCCUGCCCGGUGCUGGAAGGUUAAGAGGAGUGGUUAGCUUCUGCGAAGCUACGAAUCGAAGCCCCAGUAAACGGCGGCCGUAACUAUAACGGUCCUAAGGUAGCGAAAUUCCUUGUCGGGUAAGUUCCGACCCGCACGAAAGGCGUAACGAUUUGGGCACUGUCUCAACGAGAGACUCGGUGAAAUCAUAGUACCUGUGAAGAUGCAGGUUACCCGCGACAGGACGGAAAGACCCCGUGGAGCUUUACUGUAGCCUGAUAUUGAAAUUCGGCACAGCUUGUACAGGAUAGGUAGGAGCCUUUGAAACGUGAGCGCUAGCUUACGUGGAGGCGCUGGUGGGAUACUACCCUAGCUGUGUUGGCUUUCUAACCCGCACCACUUAUCGUGGUGGGAGACAGUGUCAGGCGGGCAGUUUGACUGGGGCGGUCGCCUCCUAAAAGGUAACGGAGGCGCUCAAAGGUUCCCUCAGAAUGGUUGGAAAUCAUUCAUAGAGUGUAAAGGCAUAAGGGAGCUUGACUGCGAGACCUACAAGUCGAGCAGGGUCGAAAGACGGACUUAGUGAUCCGGUGGUUCCGCAUGGAAGGGCCAUCGCUCAACGGAUAAAAGCUACCCCGGGGAUAACAGGCUUAUCUCCCCCAAGAGUUCACAUCGACGGGGAGGUUUGGCACCUCGAUGUCGGCUCAUCGCAUCCUGGGGCUGUAGUCGGUCCCAAGGGUUGGGCUGUUCGCCCAUUAAAGCGGUACGCGAGCUGGGUUCAGAACGUCGUGAGACAGUUCGGUCCCUAUCCGUCGUGGGCGUAGGAAAUUUGAGAGGAGCUGUCCUUAGUACGAGAGGACCGGGAUGGACAUACCUCUGGUGUACCAGUUGUCGUGCCAACGGCAUAGCUGGGUAGCUAUGUGUGGACGGGAUAAGUGCUGAAAGCAUCUAAGCAUGAAGCCCCCCUCAAGAUGAGAUUUCCCAACUUCGGUUAUAAGAUCCCUCAAAGAUGAUGAGGUUAAUAGGUUCGAGGUGGAAGCAUGGUGACAUGUGGAGCUGACGAAUACUAA